This is a long non-coding RNA of Malania oleifera, 763 nucleotides long. RefSeq lists it as uncharacterized. NCBI's taxonomy places the organism in Eukaryota, Viridiplantae, Streptophyta, Magnoliopsida, Santalales, Ximeniaceae. The transcript has 3 exons. The record is from RefSeq and is a predicted model, not a curated record.
GGCAAAUCUCAUUAGUGUGUUUUGCCCCUAAAUUAAUUAAUUCUCUCUCUCUCUCUCUCUCUCUCUCUCUAUCUGGUUUGGUCACUUAGCAUAUAUCAUGGAUAUUCAUGCGUACUCAGAUUUUAGAUUAUACGACGCCUAGUGUAUGGAGGUUGGACACUCUGGGUUUAUUCAAGGGAGUUGAGGGCUUGAUUGUUGUGAUUUUUGACCGCUGAGAGCUAAAGGGAAGCCAAGAUGGAUGGUUGGAAGUGCAGAGAACAAGGUGUCACACUUGAUUCAAUUGGAUUCCGGAACACGUGUAUGGGCGAUGCGCCGUUUUGUUUAACUUUGUCAGAUUCAAAGAUGGAAAGCUUGCGAAUGAGAUGGCUUUCGGUGGCUGAGAUUCUUUAUGCUGUGCCCACCAAGUUGGAUGAUUCCUCCUCAUUGUCAGGACAUGCUAAUUUUAAUGGCGAGCAUAUGCGAAUGCCCAUAAUGGUUUUCAUUCAUCAAAACAAACAGAUCGAAUUUGCCAUGCCUUUUUGAGCAAUCUAAAGAUACCAAAUGCUCAGCUCCUUGGAGUUUACCCCUUCACCACUUACCAUCAUCCCUGGAUGAUGUACCCAAGUAUGCAUUGCGGAGGAUAGUAUAUAUGUUGCACAUUUUGUACACAAUUAUGUAAAUGUAUGCAUGCAUAUGCAUGUUUCUAUGUGCGUGUGUACUUAUAUUAUAAACAAAUAUCCACGUUUGCCCCAUGCAUAUUUUAUAGGAGAUGAUAGUUCCCAGC